Molecule: ribosomal RNA, 1531 nt
Filed under: Actinobaculum suis
Lineage: Bacteria; Bacillati; Actinomycetota; Actinomycetes; Actinomycetales; Actinomycetaceae
Description: bacterial SSU rRNA
Rfam family: Bacterial small subunit ribosomal RNA
Source: RNAcentral
AGAGUUUGAUCCUGGCUCAGGACGAACGCUGGCGGCGUGCUUAACACAUGCAAGUCGAACGGAAAGGCUUCUUUCUUUUUUGAUUGGAGUGCUCGAGUGGCGAACGGGUGAGUAAUACGUGGGUAACCUGCCCUCAACUGUGGGAUAAGCUUGGGAAACUGGGUCUAAUACUGCAUAUUCUUCUGUCCUCGCAUGGGGGUGGUUGGAAAGUUUUUUCGGUUGGGGAUGGGCUCGCGGCCUAUCAGUUUGUUGGUGGGGUGAUGGCCUACCAAGGCGUUGACGGGUAGCCGGCCUGAGAGGGUGGUCGGCCACAUUGGGACUGAGAUACGGCCCAGACUCCUACGGGAGGCAGCAGUGGGGGAUAUUGCACAAUGGGCGGAAGCUUGAUGCAGCGACGCCGCGUGGGGGAUGAAGGCUUUCGGGUUGUAAACUUCUUUUGGUGCAGAACAAGGCUCGCACUUGGGGUGGGUUGAGGGUAUGUGCUGAAUAAGCGCCGGCUAACUACGUGCCAGCAGCCGCGGUAAUACGUAGGGCGCGAGCGUUGUCCGGAAUUAUUGGGCGUAAAGGGCUUGUAGGCGGCUUGUUGCGCCUGCUGUGAAAACGCGGGGCUUAACUUCGCGCGUGCAGUGGGUACGGGCAGGCUUGAGUGUGGUAGGGGUGACUGGAAUUCCAGGUGUAGCGGUGGAAUGCGCAGAUAUCUGGAGGAAUACCGAUGGCGAAGGCAGGUCACUGGGCCAUUACUGACGCUGAGGAGCGAAAGCGUGGGUAGCGAACAGGAUUAGAUACCCUGGUAGUCCAUGCUGUAAACGUUGGGAACUAGGUGUGGGGUCCUUUUCCGGGGUUCUGCGCCGUAGCUAACGCUUUAAGUUCCCCGCCUGGGGAGUACGGCCGCAAGGCUAAAACUCAAAGGAAUUGACGGGGGCCCGCACAAGCGGCGGAGCAUGCGGAUUAAUUCGAUGCAACGCGAAGAACCUUACCAAGGCUUGACAUACAUUGCGAUAUUCCAGAGAUGGGGUAGCUUUUUGGUGGUGUACAGGUGGUGCAUGGUUGUCGUCAGCUCGUGUCGUGAGAUGUUGGGUUAAGUCCCGCAACGAGCGCAACCCUUGUCUUGUGUUGCCAGCGGUUUUGGCCGGGGACUCACGGGAGACUGCCGGGGUUAACUCGGAGGAAGGUGGGGAUGACGUCAAAUCAUCAUGCCCCUUAUGUCUUGGGCUUCACGCAUGCUACAAUGGCCGGUACAGUGGGUUGCGAUACUGUGAGGUGGAGCGAAUCUCUGAAAGCCGGUCUCAGUUCGGAUCGGGGUCUGCAACUCGACCUCGUGAAGUGGGAGUCGCUAGUAAUCGCGGAUCAGCAUUGCCGCGGUGAAUACGUUCCCGGGCCUUGUACACACCGCCCGUCACGUCACGAAAGUUGGCGACACCCGAAGCUCGUGGCCUAACCAUUUUUUGGGGGGAGCGGUCGAAGGUGGGGUUGGCGAUUGGGACGAAGUCGUAACAAGGUAGCCGUACCGGAAGGUGCGGCUGGAUCACCU